AUGGCGCCUGUUUAUCAAAAACAUGGUUUUUUGUAGUUGUAGAAAAUCUGGUCUGCUCACUGCUUUAAGUAAAUAGCCGCAGUAUUUUGACUGUGCUAAGGUAGCAUAAUCAUUUGCCUUUUAAUUGAAGGCUGGUAUGAAUGAUUUGACGUGAUAGGUUCUGUCUCCAGAGAAGAGAUUGAAAUUAAUUAAUAGGUAAAAAGGCCUAUAUGGAUCUGAGGGACGAUAAGACCCUAUUAAGCUUGAUUUUAGAAAUUUGCUGGGGUGGCAAUUUAAGAUUAGUAUCUUAAUAAAAAUGAAUAUAGUAUAAAGACCCAAUAUUAUUGAGUGUUAGAUGAAGUUACUAUAGGGAUAACAGCUUAAUUUUUUUAAUGAGUUCUUAUUUUAAGAAAAGUUUGUGACCUCGAUGUUGAAUUAAGGGCUCUAUUUGGCGUAGCCGUUAAAUGAGAAAGUCUGUUCGACUUAUAAAACCUUACGUGAUCUGAGUUCAGACCGGCCAUGGGAAGCCUCU
This 511-nucleotide ribosomal RNA is filed under the name Liphistius pushom. RNAcentral describes it as "partial large subunit ribosomal RNA". It matches the Rfam family "Bacterial large subunit ribosomal RNA", at positions 1791 to 2639 of the family's 2925-position model. The record is from RNAcentral. Lineage: Eukaryota; Metazoa; Arthropoda; Arachnida; Araneae; Liphistiidae.